Molecule: ribosomal RNA, 374 nt
Filed under: Shewanella algae
Lineage: Bacteria; Pseudomonadati; Pseudomonadota; Gammaproteobacteria; Alteromonadales; Shewanellaceae
Description: partial 23S ribosomal RNA
Rfam family: Bacterial large subunit ribosomal RNA
Source: RNAcentral
AGGCUUAGACAGCUAGGAUGUUGGCUUAGAAGCAGCCAUCAUUUAAAGAAAGCGUAAUAGCUCACUAGUCGAGUCGGCCUGCGCGGAAGAUGUAACGGGGCUAAGCAAUUCACCGAAGCUACGGGUAUCAGCGCAUCACCUGAUGCGAUUUGCUGGCGUGAUUCACUUUGUGAAUGACGCCCAAGCACCCAACACGUUGAGUCGAAAGAUGCAACGGGGUGUUUAAGUCGUAUGAGGGAUGCGCUGAUGCGGUAGAGGAGCGUUCUGUAAGCCGUUGAAGGCGAAGGGGUAACCCACGCUGGAGGUAUCAGAAGUGCGAAUGCUGACAUGAGUAACGAUAAAGGGGGUGAAAAACCCCCUCGCCGAAAGACCAA